Molecule: ribosomal RNA, 331 nt
Filed under: Aristeus alcocki
Lineage: Eukaryota; Metazoa; Arthropoda; Malacostraca; Decapoda; Aristeidae
Description: partial 16S ribosomal RNA
Rfam family: Archaeal large subunit ribosomal RNA
Source: RNAcentral
UCAAAAACAUGUCUGUAUGGUUGUUAUAUAGAGUCUGGCCUGCCCUCUGAUAUUUAUUGAAGGGCCGCGGUAUCUUGACCGUGCGAAGGUAGCAUAAUCAUUAGUCUUUUAAUUGGAGGCUUGUAUGAAUGGUUGGACAAAAAGUAAGCUGUCUCAUCUACAGAGUUUGAAUUUAACUUUUAAGUGAAAAGGCUUAAAUGUUCUAGGGGGACGAUAAGACCCUAUAAAGCUUUACAAUAACUGAAAUACAUUAAGAUUUGUUAGUAUAAUUUGGUUUAUUUUGGGUUUGUUUCGUUGGGGCGACGAGAAUAUAAGUUAGAUAACUGUUCUU